GACGAACGCUGGCGGCGUGCUUAACACAUGCAAGUCGAACGCUGACGCUUGGUGCUUGCACUGGGUGGAUGAGUGGCGAACGGGUGAGUAAUACGUGAGUAACCUGCCCUUGACUCUGGGAUAAGCCUGGGAAACUGGGUCUAAUACUGGAUACGACAUGCCACUGCAUGGUGGUGUGUGGAAAGGGUUUUAGUGGUUUUGGAUGGGCUCACGGCCUAUCAGCUUGUUGGUGGGGUAAUGGCCUACCAAGGCGACGACGGGUAGCCGGCCUGAGAGGGUGACCGGCCACACUGGGACUGAGACACGGCCCAGACUCCUACGGGAGGCAGCAGUGGGGAAUAUUGCACAAUGGGCGGAAGCCUGAUGCAGCGACGCCGCGUGAGGGAUGACGGCCUUCGGGUUGUAAACCUCUUUCAGCACGGAAGAAGCGAGAGUGACGGUACGUGCAGAAGAAGCGCCGGCUAACUACGUG
This 472-nucleotide ribosomal RNA is filed under the name uncultured bacterium. RNAcentral's name for it is "partial 16S ribosomal RNA". It matches the Rfam family "Bacterial small subunit ribosomal RNA", at positions 28 to 507 of the family's 1533-position model. The record is from RNAcentral.